UAGUCCACGCCCUAAACGAUGUAUACUCGACGUUUGGAUGAAUUUCUGGGCGUCCAAGGGAAACCAUUAAGUAUACCACCUGGGAGUACGGUCGCAAGAUUAAAACUCAAAUGAAUUGACGGGGGCCCGCACAAGCGGUGGAGCAUGUGGUUUAAUUCGAUGCAACGCGAAGAACCUUACCUACUCUUGACAUCCAGAGAACUUAGCAGAGAUGCUUUGGUGCCUUCGGGAACUCUGAGACAGGUGCUGCAUGGCUGUCGUCAGCUCGUGUUGUGAAAUGUUGGGUUAAGUCCCGCAACGAGCGCAACCCUUAUCCUUGUUUGCCAGCGAGUAAUGUCGGGAACUCCAGGGAGACUGCCGGUGAUAAACCGGAGGAAGGUGGGGACGACGUCAAGUCAUCAUGGCCCUUACGAGUAGGGCUACACACGUGCUACAAUGGCGCAUACAGAGAGCUGCCAACUCGCGAGAGUGAGCGAAUCCCAAAAAGUGCGUCGUAGUCCGGAUUGG
Molecule: ribosomal RNA, 507 nt
Filed under: uncultured bacterium
Lineage: Bacteria
Description: bacterial SSU rRNA
Rfam family: Bacterial small subunit ribosomal RNA
Source: RNAcentral